AUGAGACAUCCUAUGUUUGAGGGUAUCCACUAUAAGAGGUGGCGCGUGAGAGCAGUCUUAUGGUUUCAAACCAUGAGUUGCUAUGACGCCACUCUUGGCAAACCUGAAGGAGAGCAAGAUGCCCAACAGGCACAAGCUUUUCAGGAAAUGGAUACCUUGUUUAAGGCUGCGCUCUUGAGUGUUCUUGGAGAGAACAUAGUUGAUGCUUAUGCGGCAAUUGAUAAUGGAAAAGAUAUGUGGGACGCACUCGAGGCCAAGUUUGGGGUCUCGGAUGCCGGCACUGAGCUGUACAUCAUGGAGCAAUUCUAUGAUUACAGGAUGACUGAAUAG
RNAcentral lists this ribosomal RNA (330 nucleotides) under Triticum aestivum (bread wheat). RNAcentral's name for it is "partial small subunit ribosomal RNA". The record is from RNAcentral. Lineage: Eukaryota; Viridiplantae; Streptophyta; Magnoliopsida; Poales; Poaceae.